CCGUCCAGAUCUCCGACCCGAGAACCCGUCCGACAUCCCAGUACCCGCCAGGUGUACCACACUUAUCGUUAAACGAACGGAUCCAGCUUCGCCACGUGUCGCGGCGCAGCAUAAUUACCCCGCGGAUCCAACGGACCCCAACAACUCUUCUCCAAAAGUCUCGAACUUCAACGCAACGCAGCGCAGCCGCUCCUCCAGAGACCCCGG
RNAcentral lists this long non-coding RNA (207 nucleotides) under Rosa chinensis. RNAcentral's name for it is "sRNA RchiOBHm_Chr2g0155971". The record is from RNAcentral. Lineage: Eukaryota; Viridiplantae; Streptophyta; Magnoliopsida; Rosales; Rosaceae.